AAGUCGAGCGGAAACGAUGGGAGCUUGCUCCCAGGCGUCGAGCGGCGGACGGGUGAGUAACGCGUAGGAAUCUACCCAGUAGUGGGGAUAGCCCGGGAAACUCGGAUUAAUACCGCAUACGCCUACGGGGAAAGCCGGGAUCUUCGGACCGGUCGCUAUUGGAUGAGCCUGCGUAAGAUUAGCUAGUUGGUGGUGUAAAGGCCUACCAAGGCGACGAUCUUUAGCUGGUCUGAGAGGAUGAUCAGCCACACUGGAACUGAGACACGGUCCAGACUCC
This 277-nucleotide ribosomal RNA is filed under the name uncultured bacterium. Its description in RNAcentral is "partial 16S ribosomal RNA". It matches the Rfam family "Bacterial small subunit ribosomal RNA", at positions 59 to 339 of the family's 1533-position model. The record is from RNAcentral.